UGAGAAGUAAAAGUUUAGGGAGAAAAUAAAAAGGUUUGGGGAAGUAAAAUUUUUAGGGAAAGUAAAUAGGGGGAGUAAAAUUUUGGAGAGAAAAUAUUAAAAAAAUUGAGGGGGGUGGGUUUAGGGUAGAUGGGAGGUGGGAUGGGAGGGGUGUAAAAGUUUUAGGGGAAAAGUGGGAGGGAGUAAAAAUUUUCGGGGAAAGUAAAUGGGAGAGUAAAAUUUUGAAGGGAAAAUAUUAAAAAAAAAUUGGUGAGAAAUGGAUUUUGGGUAGAUGAGGAGGUUGGGAUGGGAGAAGAGUAAAAGUUUUGGGGGGAAAGAUGAAAUAAGUAAAAUUUUUAAGGAAAAAGUAAAAAGGUUUGGG
This 361-nucleotide long non-coding RNA is filed under the name Gossypium raimondii (Peruvian cotton). Its description in RNAcentral is "long non-coding RNA (GRAI_LNC006594)". Lineage: Eukaryota; Viridiplantae; Streptophyta; Magnoliopsida; Malvales; Malvaceae. The record is from RNAcentral.